RNAcentral lists this ribosomal RNA (254 nucleotides) under uncultured bacterium. RNAcentral's name for it is "partial 16S ribosomal RNA". It matches the Rfam family "Bacterial small subunit ribosomal RNA", at positions 524 to 776 of the family's 1533-position model. The record is from RNAcentral.
UACGGGGGGAGCAAGCGUUGUUCGGAUUUACUGGGCGUAAAGGGCGCGUAGGCGGCCACCGCAAGUCGACUGUGAAAUCUCCGGGCUUAACCCGGAAAGGUCAGCCGAUACUGCGGGGCUAGAGUGCAGAAGGGGCAACUGGAAUUCUCGGUGUAGCGGUGAAAUGCGUAGAUAUCGAGAGGAACACCUGCGGCGAAGGCGGGUUGCUGGGCUGACACUGACGCUGAGGCGCGAAAGCUAAGGGAGCGAACGGG